CUCUCUCUCCCUCUUUCCUUGAAAAUCAAUCGCGUGAACGCGUUACACAUAUCGAAUCGUCUGUCUCUGCAUCUUUUCUGGCAGUGGGUUAUACAAAACUGUCCGUAGGCGCAGAAAAGAAGAAAUCUCUGUCACUGAAAAUCAUUGGAGCCUGAAGAAAUUGCUUGUGUGUUUUUGGGGAAAAAUUAAGCAGCGUUUCUAGUUCCGCAAGGAGUUCCCCAAUAGGGAAAGGGAGAAGGUUUGUUUUUUUUAAUUUAAAAGAGAGUGAAUUUUCUUAUUUCUCUUAAUAGUUUAAUUUCACUUCAUUACCUUUGGUCUGAAA
This is a long non-coding RNA of Prosopis cineraria, 322 nucleotides long. RefSeq lists it as uncharacterized. NCBI's taxonomy places the organism in Eukaryota, Viridiplantae, Streptophyta, Magnoliopsida, Fabales, Fabaceae. The record is from RefSeq and is a predicted model, not a curated record. The transcript is spliced from 2 exons.